This is a non-coding RNA of Candidatus Staskawiczbacteria bacterium, 73 nucleotides long. Lineage: Bacteria; Candidatus Staskawicziibacteriota. The record is from Rfam.
GCGCCCGUAGCUCAGUUGGUAGAGCUCCCGACUCUUAAUCGGAUGGUCACAGGUUCGAUCCCUGUCGGGCGCA